RNAcentral lists this ribosomal RNA (253 nucleotides) under uncultured bacterium. RNAcentral describes it as "partial 16S ribosomal RNA". It matches the Rfam family "Bacterial small subunit ribosomal RNA", at positions 524 to 776 of the family's 1533-position model. The record is from RNAcentral.
UACGUAGGUGGCAAGCGUUAUCCGGAAUUAUUGGGCGUAAAGCGCGCGUAGGUGGUUUUUUAAGUCUGAUGUUAAAGCCCACGGCUCAACCGUGGAGGGUCAUUGGAAACUGGAAAACUUGAGUGCAGAAGAGGAAAGUGGAAUUCCAUGUGUAGCGGUGAAAUGCGCAGAGAUAUGGAGGAACACCAGUGGCGAAGGCGACUUUCUGGUCUGUAACUGACGCUGAUGUGCGAAAGCGUGGGGAUCAAACAGG